CAUUCCGAACGGCGGAUCACUUGGCUCGUAGGUCGUUGAAGAACGACGUGACACUCGAGAAUUGAUGUGAAUUGCAGACACACUGAACUUGAAUACUUUGAACGCACAUUGC
This 112-nucleotide ribosomal RNA is filed under the name Trichuris vulpis. RNAcentral describes it as "partial 5.8S ribosomal RNA". It matches the Rfam family "5.8S ribosomal RNA", at positions 1 to 114 of the family's 154-position model. Rfam says of the family: 5.8S ribosomal RNA (5.8S rRNA) is a component of the large subunit of the eukaryotic ribosome. It is transcribed by RNA polymerase I as part of the 45S precursor that also contains 18S and 28S rRNA. Lineage: Eukaryota; Metazoa; Nematoda; Enoplea; Trichinellida; Trichuridae. The record is from RNAcentral.